UUUUCCCUAAUCUAAUUCAAAUCAUUUUCCAAAUUUUGAACAAUACAACAAUAACAAUAAAAGACCGCAAAAGCCAGAAAAUUAAAUGAUAAAAUAUGGCUUUAACAUGGUUAACAAAAAGAUGAAAAAAAAAAAACUCAAUCUAAGCAAGAGUUUCUCGGUCAAAAUUUUGAAGGGACUCCCAGGCUUCAAUCCUUUGUUGCUUGCUUUGUUGUGUUUAAAUUGUCUGUGGUGUGUUAUGUGAAUUGAGAAAAUGGAGGGAUAGAGCCGAAAGGAUCAGAGAAAUUUUUUUCUCCUUCUUCCUCUCUAUUUUUUUUUUCAGCAGCCUAAGCUAAGAGAAGGAGAGAGUGAGGGCCUCUCUGCAAAAUUUUCUUCUACUCCAUUGAGCCAGCCGAGAGAGUGAGAGAGUUUUUCUCUUGCUUUCUUCUGCUUUUUUUUCUUCUCUUGGACCAGUUGCUUCUUCUUUUCUUUCUCUGGUAAAAAAGAUGGUGAUGGCCAUCAUGAGUCAUCAUGAAGGCUCAUGAUGACUUCCUUUUUUUUUAAUACAAAAACUAAUUUUUUUUGUUUUUUCUGCUUUU
RNAcentral lists this long non-coding RNA (578 nucleotides) under Coffea arabica (coffee). RNAcentral's name for it is "long non-coding RNA (CARA_LNC006646)". The record is from RNAcentral. Lineage: Eukaryota; Viridiplantae; Streptophyta; Magnoliopsida; Gentianales; Rubiaceae.